Molecule: unclassified non-coding RNA, 242 nt
Filed under: Hevea brasiliensis (rubber tree)
Lineage: Eukaryota; Viridiplantae; Streptophyta; Magnoliopsida; Malpighiales; Euphorbiaceae
Source: RNAcentral
AUAAUCCUUAAUAAGUACAAAGUUAUACUUGUUAGAAAAACCGUAAUACAAUAUCUUGAUACCACAGCUAAUGAUCUCCGUCUGGGAUAAUUAUUAUGCUAAAAUUUGAGCUUCAUCCCUAAGUUACUAAUGAAGUAUCAUUUCCCAUGUAGCCAGCAAGCUUAAUGAACAUAUGUUAGGAAUAAUAAUGGCUUUACACCAAAAGAGAAGUGGCCCUUGUACAGAAAGACAAGGUAUGCAAA